AUGACAUUGUCCUUCGGGACAUCCGAUAAAAUUGGAACGAUACAGAGAAGAUUAGCAUGGCCCCUGCGCAAGGAUGACACGCAUAAAUCGAGAAAUGGUCCAAAUUUUUUUUCCUUCCUCGGUGAUCAACGAUCAGAUCUCGCAAAUUUGUGAUUCUGUGGCUCCUACUUCCUUUUUUUACACUUUCUGUUUCUUUCAUCCGUUUGGGUCUUGCUCAAAUAGUAAAGCUUAGAUUUUGCUCAUGUUCUUUUGGAUUCCGGAAUUGAAGCCCGAAACGUUUCUAACUGCUGGAGAUUUUUGGAUGUGCCAAGGGGGGUUAUUUUUCAAGCCACUUAUGAACAUGAUACGGCUUUUUUGUUUAAUCAGCUAGAGGUUCGAGAAAAGAGUGAGGUAUGCCUCUCGGCUCUCGCAAAGCAAGAGCUGAUGUAAGAAGGCGUGUUAAGGGAGGCUUUGUCAAAGCUGGUGAAGCUUAUGAUUAUGAUCCAUUGAUCCAAACCAGAAGCUACUGAGAGUACAAUUUUUAACCAUGCUUUGUAAAAGGAAUGAAUCACUCUCAAUGUCAAAAAAAUCCGUACUAUCACCUAAACGAUGGAUGAAACUAAUGCAUAUUGCCUGUGGAAUGACAAAGUGUAUGAUUGUAUCUCAGGGGCCUUGGUUUUCAUCAGGACAAAAUGGUGGAUAUGAAAUGCUGGGUUGCAAUGUUUUACCAAGAAAGUUCAGGAGCAGAAUUUUGAUCCUCCAUCACACUAUAAAAGGAUUGAUGGAUUGUGACAACAUCCAAAAAAGACCGAGCCACCACCCUUGACUUUAGGCUAUGCAUAUUUCCUGUGUUUCCUUUAGGAAAGGAUAACCUUAUUGGUUUUUUCCACCCAUAAUACCGUAAUAAUUAGUAUUUCUUGUAUUCCUUGCUCUGCUCACCUCUAUAAAUGCAGUUGCCAUGGCAUGGUGGGGUGGCUGUUCUCUCACAUUUGCCAGGUCAACCAAAAAGCUAGCACUUGUAUUUCUUUUUAAUUUCCCAUGUACAGCGUAGGAUCUGGAGAAGGAUCAUGGAGAGGAUUCAUUUAGUUUGUUUUAAGAGGACAUUUUUAUCCAAAUGAAAAAUAGGAAGCUCAAAAUGAAAUGGAGGGAUCUAUUUAGUUGUUUUAAGAGGACAUUUUUGUCCAAAUGAAAAACAGGGAGCUCAGAAAUGACAAAAUUGUCUCCUAAAAACAAAUGGAGAGGAUCCAAGUCCGUAGGAUCUUGCCUAAGUUAGUGUUGUUGUAUCUGCUCAAAAAACACAAAAAUUUGUACAUUUCGUGAACAUGUAUAUCAUGGGAUUAUGUGGAAGUAUGCUUUUGAGAAGAGAUAGUCUAG
Molecule: non-coding RNA, 1353 nt
Organism: Corylus avellana
Lineage: Eukaryota; Viridiplantae; Streptophyta; Magnoliopsida; Fagales; Betulaceae
Source: RefSeq, a predicted model, not a curated record